AUUAUUGUUUAGGAUUGAACUUUGGCUGGGUUUGAAAUUUGAAUACUGUGAAAAUCUAUUAAUAGAUGCUGUGGAAGUGUAUAUAAACAGUUUAAAUUAUAAAUAGUUAGAAAUGAGUGUUCAACAGUAGCCAAACAUGGGCUUAGGCGAUAACAUACUCUGUGCUGCUAAUUUUGAAAUAGGAGAUGAUUCUUGUCAUUGUGAAUUCGGAGAAGCGAGUGACAAAGGGGACGAUUCUGUGGGAGUUGAAGAUGAAGGAGAUGAUGAAGAUAUUAGUGAUUUGGAAAAUGAUGACCCUACUGAUAUUGAUAUAGAAAGAGUGCGACGAGGUAUUGCCAAUUUCAUAUGUUUCCAGGAUGUGCCACCGAAUCUUUUAAAAAAUGAUGAUUUCAAAAACUUGAUGACUGAGUACUUUCCUUCCUUGACCUUGGAUUCCGAGACGACCAAAAAUGAUUGCUUGAAGGUUUUUGAGGAAGCGAAAUCAAUAACUAAAUGUACUUUGAAUCAUAUGGGUCGAAUGAUUCCUCUUUCAGUUGACGUGUUAACGUACUUAAAUAGACAUGGUUCCCGUUAUGACUACAUAUCUUUGGCAGCACACUUCGUUGACGAUACUUGGAAGUUGAGGAAAUGGAUUCUUUAUUUUCGGAGGCUUGAUUUUUUUGAUGCAGCAAUCUUGAAAUCUAUAGACGACUGGAGCCUCGAGAAUAAAGUAUAUACUCUGACGUCAGGAAAUAUUAAUGCAUUUGCAAGGGAUGAAAUUAUUGAGUCCAUCAAAUCUCAGUUCAAAGAGAAGAACAGACUGCCAAUCGAUUCUCGUCUUUUUUCUGUGAGUUGCUGUGCUGAAAUGUUUUGUUUGAUGGCGCAAGAUGCAUUUGAAGAGAUAUGUAUCAUCAUCGGCAAACUCAAAGAGCUACAUUUGUCAAGGUCUGAAUCUAUGUGGCAUACGACAAAUUGGAAACUGAAAAUUAUGUUAGAUAUGGAAUCAAUGGGAGAAUUUAAUUCAGAUGUGCACAAGAAUUUUGUGCCAUCUGCAGAUGAAUGGGAGAAAGUUCGAAUUGUCUAUAAACUUGUGGAUAACACUUACAAUGUUGCAAAGCAGGUUUUUGAAACGAAGCAUCCAACAGCUAACAAAUUUUUGUACAAUCUUGAGGAGCUUCGUGCAAAAUUAAUUCUCGAAGCCACUAGUUCAGUCUCUUUUACUUGGUGCGUGGCUAAGAAAAUGCUUCAAAGGCUUGAUAAGUACAUAAAAGAAACGUUUCUGGUAUUGGCAAUUGCGUCAGUGAUGGAUCCUCGUUGCAAAAUGCAAUACAUGGAGUAUAUUUCCACGAAAUUUGGAGACAGAGAUGGCAUCUUGGAAAGUGGUGCUGUUUUGGAGGCUAUUAAAAGCAUCUAUGCAGAUUAUGCGAGCCAUGGCACGAAAGUGGAUAAUUCUGAAGGUACUUCAAAUCUUAAAACAGAAGAGGGAAAUCCAAGAAAUGAUAAAGAACAAUUUCCAAAUUUUCCGGGCGGGCAAGAAUACCAUGAAUAUGUUCAAGUCAAUAAUAAGCCUAAAAAGUCCGAUCUGGAUUCGUAUUUAGAAGAGCCUGUAGUACCUUGGAAUGAAAACUUCAACGUAUUGCGAUGGUGGAAAUCUGAAGCUCCCAAGUAUCCAAACGUCUCGAAAAUGGCCCGUGACUUCUUGGCUAUACCUAUAUCAGUGGCUACUUCACACGAUGCUUACUAUUAUUUGGAAAAUAGACCGCCUGAUCUUCGUGUUAUCACUUCAGGGGCGGAGAUGAUGAAUGCCUUGAUGUGCUGUAGGAGCUGGAACACUGGUCCUAAGAUUGAUUUUGAGUUAUGGUUUCUUGCUGCUGGUGUGAACAUAUUAUAACUUGUGAUGUCUAUGAUUUUGAAUUACCAUUGUCUGGUGGAACUGUUUGGAUCUUUUUGCUAGCUUGAUCCUAUUUUGAGUUGCCAUGAAUAAUCUAAGAAAGAUGUACCAAAUGUUUUUAUUUAUUGUUCUAUCUAAUCAGGUGUAAUAUUAGACACCUACUCAUCUUAUAAUAUUGGGGAUCCAAAAUGUUUAUGUAAAUACUCUUUGCCCU
RNAcentral lists this long non-coding RNA (2084 nucleotides) under Olea europaea subsp. europaea. The record is from RNAcentral. Lineage: Eukaryota; Viridiplantae; Streptophyta; Magnoliopsida; Lamiales; Oleaceae.